CAUGCCGACGGCGUCGAGUCCACACUGACCGCCGAGGCCUGACUGCUUUGAUCCCUGACCCUCGGCCAAAUGGUGCGGCUGCAGCGCGGCCACUCGCUGUUUUACAGCAGCAGUUUGGACCACUCACUUCCUGCUCGCCGCCCGGACGGACCAAUCGUUUAUCAGCACCUACACUCCUGGACGUCCUUCCUGGUCAGACGCAGACUUCAACACCUGCAGUCCAGAGGUCACCAGGUACGCUUCCUGGACGCUCACCCACCUCACCCGGCUCAGUGCCGCCCGCUGCCUCCCUCACAUGUCAGAGCGCCUCCUCCAGCUCCACAGGCCGACCUGUGAAAACAAACAUCUGCUUUUUGGGGAUGAACAAAGACGGCUACAGUUGAACUGUAGGUUAAGAAGAGAGCGGAAGGGAACUGCAGAGAUGUACAGUGAGAUAUUUUCGUUGUGCAUUCUUCAGGACUAUGAAAGUAAUCUCAGAUCAAAGCUGCACAAAAGUGCCCCCCCCAACACCACCCACAUCCCCUCCAUAGCUAGUGACGUGGAACAGGACUUUAAAAGAAGAAAGAAUCACUAAAACGGUGAACAAAG
This is a long non-coding RNA of Seriola aureovittata, 588 nucleotides long. RefSeq lists it as uncharacterized. Lineage: Eukaryota; Metazoa; Chordata; Actinopteri; Carangiformes; Carangidae. The transcript is spliced from 3 exons. The record is from RefSeq and is a predicted model, not a curated record.